Vespula pensylvanica (western yellowjacket) is the source of this 308-nucleotide long non-coding RNA. RefSeq lists it as uncharacterized. The record is from RefSeq and is a predicted model, not a curated record. The transcript has 2 exons. Lineage: Eukaryota; Metazoa; Arthropoda; Insecta; Hymenoptera; Vespidae.
GCACAACAGGCGCUUCGGAUGCUGUACUCGCCAAAUUCUUUGGCUUGCAGACGCAACCACUCUCAACCAGCACGUAAUCCUGACCGGUUAGGGUCACCGGCCCCAAAGGAAUCACCAAAAACAGAGAAAGGAAGACUCGAUCGAUAUUCGUUUUCGAUUAUAUCAUAAAAAGGAUUUAUUUAACGUCAACCUGUAUUCGAAAAAUAAUUGAAGAGUAGGCCAAAGUAUGUUAUUUACGAACAUUAAGUAUCGUUGAACGUAUCUGGCCUAGUGUGCUACAUUUGAAAUAAAACGAAUCGCUGACAGAA